AUUGAACGCUGGCGGCAUGCCUUACACAUGCAAGUCGAACGGCAGCGGGCCUUCGGGUGCCGGCGAGUGGCGAACGGGUGAGUAAUGCAUCGGAACGUGCCAUUGAGUGGGGGAUAACGUAGCGAAAGUUACGCUAAUACCGCAUAUUCUGUGAGCAGGAAAGCAGGGGACCGCAAGGCCUUGCGCUCUUUGAGCGGCCGAUGUCAGAUUAGCUAGUUGGUGAGGUAAAGGCUUACCAAGGCGACGAUCUGUAGCGGGUCUGAGAGGAUGAUCCGCCACACUGGAACUGAGACACGGUCCAGACUCCUACGGGAGGCAGCAGUGGGGAAUUUUGGACAAUGGGCGCAAGCCUGAUCCAGCCAUGCCGCGUGAGUGAAGAAGGCCUUCGGGUUGU
This 394-nucleotide ribosomal RNA is filed under the name uncultured bacterium. Its description in RNAcentral is "bacterial SSU rRNA". It matches the Rfam family "Bacterial small subunit ribosomal RNA", at positions 30 to 426 of the family's 1533-position model. The record is from RNAcentral.